CAGUAGCCGCGGUAAUACGAAGGGGGCUAGCGUUGCUCGGAAUUACUGGGCGUAAAGGGAGCGUAGGCGGACAUUUAAGUCAGGGGUGAAAUCCCAGAGCUCAACUCUGGAACUGCCUUUGAUACUGGGUGUCUUGAGUGUGAUAGAGGUAUGUGGAACUCCGAGUGUAGAGGUGAAAUUCGUAGAUAUUCGGAAGAACACCAGUGGCGAAGGCGACAUACUGGAUCAUUACUGACGCUGAGGCUCGAAAGCGUGGGGAGCAAACAGGAUUAGAGACCCCGGUAGUCCCUGUCUCUUAUAC
Molecule: ribosomal RNA, 301 nt
Filed under: uncultured bacterium
Lineage: Bacteria
Description: partial 16S ribosomal RNA
Rfam family: Bacterial small subunit ribosomal RNA
Source: RNAcentral